This 335-nucleotide long non-coding RNA is filed under the name Fukomys damarensis (Damara mole-rat). RNAcentral describes it as "lncRNA (ENSFDAG00000024973.1)". The record is from RNAcentral. Lineage: Eukaryota; Metazoa; Chordata; Mammalia; Rodentia; Bathyergidae.
AGACGUUCUAGAAGCCACAGUCACAAAAGGAGGAGAUCAAGAAGUAGGAUUUUUGAUCACAGUUAUAAAGGAUCUUAUAGGUCUAGAAAUAGACUGUCGGGGAGACCAUGGCCUAGCAGAAGCCAUUCAGAUUCCAAUUAUACUUGACAUCCAGCUGAGACAUCCAUCUUUUACCCACUUUCCUGAUCAAGUAAGUCAGCAAAUAUUUACUGAAUGAACCCUUACCAUGGGCAAAACAUUGUACUGGAGAACUGGGGAGAGGAACAGAUGAUGUGUCCUUUAUUCUUGCUAAAUUUCUACUGAUCGCAAUCUAAUGAAACUUUACAAAAUGGCCC